GACGAACGCUGGCGGCGUGGAUUAGGCAUGCAAGUCGAACGGUAUCAUCCUUUCGGGGGUGAGAGAGUGGCGAACUGGUGAGUAACACGUAGGUUAUCUACCCUCAAGACGGGGACAACCCAGGGAAACUUGGGCUAAUACCGGAUGUGAGCAACUUUUAGUUGUUUGAAAGGUGGCGUAAGCUGUCGCUUGGGGAUGAGCCUGCGUCCUAUUAGUUAGUUGGUGAGGUAACGGCUCACCUAGGCAAUGAUAGGUAGGCGGCCUUAACGGGUGGUCGCCCACACUGGGAUUGAGAUACGGCCCAGACUCCUACGGGAGGCAGCAGUCGAGAAUAGUCUACAAUGGUCGGAAGACUGAUAGUGCGACGCCGCGUGAACGAUGAAUCCCUUCGGGGUGUAAAGUUCUUUUAUAUGUGAGCAGUGCUUCUUAUAUUAACAGUAUGGGGAAGAGAUAUUAGCAUAUGAAUAAGCAAACGGCUAAACUCCGUGCCCAGCAAGCCGCGGU
RNAcentral lists this ribosomal RNA (504 nucleotides) under uncultured bacterium. RNAcentral's name for it is "bacterial SSU rRNA". It matches the Rfam family "Bacterial small subunit ribosomal RNA", at positions 28 to 521 of the family's 1533-position model. The record is from RNAcentral.